Molecule: long non-coding RNA, 3124 nt
Organism: Planococcus citri (citrus mealybug)
Lineage: Eukaryota; Metazoa; Arthropoda; Insecta; Hemiptera; Pseudococcidae
Exons: 4
Source: RefSeq, a predicted model, not a curated record
UUCAAACAGCUUGAACGUCAGCACCACCUCCGGCCAUAGAUCUGACAAGAAUGGUUCAUGGUUGAACGAUCUUCUUCGGGAUGUCGAUUAUUUCUUUGAGCUGCUCUAUAAAAGGAAGACAAUGGCAUCUUUACUUUCCGAGUAAAUGCUCGAACGUCAGCACCAUCUCCGGCCAUCGAUGUAAUAGAAAUGGUUGAACGAUCUUCUUCGCGAUAUCGAUAAUUUCGUUGAGCUGCUUUAUUAAAGGAAAACAAUGGUUCUGCUGCUUCUGCUCAAGUCAUCGCCUAUUCGCUUAUGCUGAAUGAAAGUCGAUGCCUGUUUUAUCAUGUUCAGCGAACGCUUUGUUUAAUUUGAUACGAUGAGCAUGAAUUCGCCAGCGAAAUUUUCAACGUAUGAUGUGAAACCUGACGAAUGAUCGACGAAGAAUUAAUUGGUUAUACCUAUUGUGGGAAUAAUAACUUCGAUGUACAUUAGAUGAGAUUGAGAAUACUGUUUGUGCUCCGGCGAUGGAAUCACAGCAACAUAUAGGUGUUUGUAUUCUCCCGAAGAGCGCCAAACCUGCACAAGUGUAUAAAAAGAAUAAGCUAUCAUCUACAGUGGAUCGUCUCCAUGCUUGCUGUCGAAUGGAAAUCGUGUCAUGCUGCCUUUUCAUUAUCUUCUUCGCCGCCGUACUGAAAUGAAAAUCGUGUACACAGACGUACUUUCGGCCAAAACGAGGUUUGAUGCUGUCUCUGCCGCUGUCCCUCACUCAUUCAGCGUAGUGAUCAUUCUCAUCAUCGGUUUCUUCGCGCCGAAAUUUUCACAAUUCUGUUCGUAAGUCGUCUAUUGCUUACUCGAAAACCGUCCAGUUAUUUUAUCUGUGAUUUUAGUCGCUGGAAUAACAAUAAGCCUAUACCUACUGAGAGAAAAGGUUGCAUCGUUGAGCUUUUGAAUUUUUGAAAUUUUGGUUCAUUUCGAGCAUUUUUUUUUUCUGCUACGAAUUGCGAAAUAAUUAAGGUAUCAGAAAGAGAUGUUGAGCAAAACUCAUUGUUCAGUAAAGAUUCGAAAUAAUGUGCUUGUUUGAAUACUUAGUAAAACGAAUAAUGAAUCGAAAAUAUCGCAGAUUUGGUGCACAUUUAGGCCUCGUCCCCCCCCCCCCACUCUACUUUUCGGAACCCUUGCUAUACUAUUAAUAAUUAUUUGUAGUGUUAUCGAUGAGUUUGAGAUGUUUAAUAAUAAGUUGGUAAUUUUACCUCCCCCCUCCCCCCCUUACUCGAAUUACUCGUUUCGCGUGUAACUUGCGGCUUUGUCUUUUUGAAAUUUCGUUAAAAUUCGAUCGUUUUUGUUUUCUUGGUUUGAUUGUACUACCUAUUCAGUAGAUUCAGUCUCAAAAUUAGCUUUGUGGUUUGUUUAUUAAUUCGCGUUGACGUUACUAGAAUAUCAUACGAUGAUUCGAUAAUUUCGACCCUUUUACCCACCCCCUCCCUCUCUCCCUCCCUCAUUGCUUGUUCGCGUGUAAUUUGGGUUUUUGUUUUUUUUCCUCAAAAUUUCGUCAAAAUUCUAUCGCUUUUGGUUUCUAACGAUUUGAUCGGUAUUGGGCUAGUUUGGUGCGAGUUAAAUUACAACACGAUGUCCUAAUAGUUGCGGAUCAUAAACUUUUCAUCUCGAGGGUGUUUAGUUGUUGGUGUAUAGAGUGCCGGUGGAGAGUUUAUUUGUAUGCAGAUAGAGACGUUUUGAGGAGUGAGCUGGUGGCGAGUGUUGUAUGUAUUAUAGGGAUAUAGGGAAUGCGGUUGUGGCUGCUCUUGUUAAGUUGCUGUCCGUCCUUGCCUGUUAAGCAUCAACCCACAACCGUACUUUUUCCACUCGUUCACGUCAACCUGGCGUUCGUGAUCCCUUGAAAAUUUCUUACUUUCUGAUAGCAUGGCGCCUACCUUAGCCAUAGUACGUAGUUCUGCACUCGCGUAUCCACGUACGUACUCGCGCGGCGUGCGGUGGAGUCCACUGUAUUCGGUUGGUACGGAGCUGAUCAGCUGGAUUUCAUGCAGCAUCUACAAAGUCAGUAAGUCGAAACGCAUCCACGGUUCACGGGCUCUCGCUCAGGUUCCGUCUUGAUGGUCAUCAAAGCCGUAUGGUGUUGGGGGAGCGUCAUUCGGCGACUUGUCUGCUAUCGUGCUUCGGCGCAGCGGCCUGCUCAAUGGUGGCGUAGUCCUCUGGCUCACUCCUGCGACGCUCAGUGGGGUCGUCACUUACGGCGGCUUCGACUGUAUACCCAAGUCAUAAUAAGGAGUUGUCGUAAGAGGUUACGACUCAUACGGUGGAAACGUUUGCGUUCCAUCUAGUGGUGCGAGCCGUUGUCCUGUGACCAGCUCAAUCUGCGAACCUCACUUCCGGGCUGAUAAAGAUGUGAGCGGGGAUGGUUAAUGUCAGCCUAACCUGCGUAACGAUAUUGCCAUUUGCCUGCCGUCUACUAUCAGUCCUGCCUUUAUUGCGGAUCCUCAGAGAUUCUUCUCUCCGAUCCAACCCACACGCAGUAAGUGGUGCACUCUAGGUUUUGCAUACACUUGCUCGCGUGAGAAUGAGUUCUGUUUGAGAGAGAAAUGUCAAAGGCUGAUCUGGUCUCGUUGCUUCGGUCAACAUUGCCAGGCAGGUGAGCGUGUGUGUAGCGAGUAUGGUGAUCUGGACUGUGUACGAUGUCUGGUUGUAAUUAGAUUUGUGUUCUUUAAAAAAAUUAAAAAUGGAAAAAAUCACCAAGUUUGGAUGAAAUUGUAAAUAAACGAAAGGUAAUUAGUCGAAAUUUUAAAGAUGGGCUGCAUUAUUUGAAAAUUGUCGAAGUUCGUGGAGUGUAAUGAUCGUGUUGAAAAGAAAAAGAUCGUUGGAAAUGACGUAAUUCCAUAAUUUGACUAAAUUCGCGUAAUAUAUAGUAAUAAUCUCAUACUGAAAUAUUUGAAGAAUCGAUAUUUCAAUUAUUAUUCCCUAUCUUCAAGUUCCCCCUCCCCCUCCCCCCUUUCCAUCCUAAUUCAUUUUUUAAUAAAUUAUUGAAAUUUUAUUGUCAUGUUUGUUUUUGAAAAAUAAGUUUGUAGUUUUAUGACCUUUGUUGUGAGAUUAUCAUGUACUUAAUUAGUGUUGAUGUAUUUGGUGUUCAAUG